GACGAACGCUGGCGGCGUGCUUAACACAUGCAAGUCGAACGGAAAGGCCCUGUUCUUGUGGCGUGCGCGAGUGCCGCGCACGUGUGUAUCACGCGAGUAACCUCUCCUUGACAGUGGGAUAACUUCUUGAAACACGGGCUCUUAUCCCAUAUAAGAUCUUGCUGCACGGUGUGUGAUGGUGAGAUACGGCGUUUCGGGAUGGAAUCGCGGUUUAUCAGCUUGUUGGUGGGGUGGUGGCUUACCGAGGCUAUGACGGGUAGCCGGCCUGAGAGUGUGACAGGCCCCAUUGGGACUGAGGUAGGGGCCAGAGGCAUACGGGAGGCAGCAGUGGGGAACAGUGCGCAAUAGGCCGAAGCCUGAUGCAGCAACUCCGGGUGCGGGAAGACGGUCGUCGGGGUGUAAACCGCGUUCGCGUGUAACGAAGAGUGAGUGACGGUAAUGGGUAAAGAAGCAACGGCUAACUACGUG
This 468-nucleotide ribosomal RNA is filed under the name uncultured bacterium. Its description in RNAcentral is "partial 16S ribosomal RNA". It matches the Rfam family "Bacterial small subunit ribosomal RNA", at positions 28 to 507 of the family's 1533-position model. The record is from RNAcentral.